GAUUAAUUUGAGGUGGUAGGUUUGAGGUGGUAGGUUCGAGGUGUUUGAUAUUUAUUUUGAGGUAGUUGAUCAGUUGAGGUGGUAGAAUUGAGGUGUUUGAUAUUUGUUUUGAGGUGGUUGAAGAUCGGUUGAGGUGGUAGGUUCGAGGUGUUUGAUAUUUGUUUUGAGGUGGUUGAAGAUUGGUUGAGGUAGUAGGUUUGAGGUGGUUUAAGAUUAAUUUGAGGUGGUAGGUUUGAGGUGGUAGGUUCGAGGUGUUUGAUAUUUAUUUUGAGGUAGUUGAUCAGUUGAGGUGGUAGAAUUGAGGUGUUUGAUAUUUGUUUUGAGGUGGUUGAAGAUCGGUUGAGGUGGUAGGUUCGAGGUGUUUGAUAUUUAUUUUGAGGUAGUUGAUCAGUUGAGGUGGUAGAAUUGAGGUGUUUGAUAUUUGUUUUGAGGUGGUUGAAGAUCGGUUGAGGUGGUAGGUUUGAGGUGUUUGAUAUUUGUUUUGAGGUGGUUUAAGAUCGGUUGAGGUGGUAGGUUUGAGGUGAUUGAUAUUUGUUUUGAGGUGGUUGAAGAUCGGUUGAGGUGGUAGGUUUGAGGUGAUUGAUAUUUAUUUUGAGGUGGUUUAAGAUCGGUUGAGGUGGUAGGUUUGAGGUGAUUGAUAUUUAUUUUGAGGUGGUUGAAGAUUGGUUGAGGUGGUAGGUUUGAGGUGAUUGAUAUUUGUUUUGAGGUGGUUGAAGAUCGGUUGAGGUGGUAGAAUUGAGGUGUUUGAUAUUUGUUUUGAGGUGGUUUAAGAUCUGUUGUCUUGAGAUGGUAGGUUUGAGGUGAUUGAUAUUUGUUUUGAGGUGGUUGAAGAUUGGUUGAGGUGGUAGGUUUGAGGUGGUAGGUUUGAGGUGUUUGAUAUUUGUUUUGAGGUGGUUGAAGAUCGGUUGAGGUGGUAGAAUUGAGGUGUUUGAUAUUUGUUUUGAGGUGGUUGAUGGCUUUUUGAUGUCUGUUGAGUUUACUACGCUCCCAUCCCAGUUGUUUGAGUUGAUUGACCUACUUUCCCUUGUCCUCAUAUGGAGGUCACUAGGGUGUUGUUAUCUGUGCACGUUACAGGGAAGUGUAGUAUUGUAGGGAUACAGGAAUGCCAUUCAUGGGGAGGAUCUGGCCCAGACAGGAAUUUAUCAAGAGGAAAGGUUUGAUGGAAAGAUAGAACUGGUCUUCCAGACUCAUCUCAUCUCCAACUCUGUCAACUCAAGAUUAAUUAACUGGGCCUGUAUUCAUGAAACGUACGCUCUCAUGUGCAAGCAUGGAUUUUGUGCUCAAACCAACUUUCUAGUAACUUACUUAAAUAAUUUUUAACUAUCAAAAAGCCGAAUGUAAACAUUGAAAACAGUUUAUAUUUGGCUUAAACUAUCUCAAGAUUAAUUUCCAAAUCAUUGUCAAAAUAUU
Molecule: long non-coding RNA, 1410 nt
Organism: Mizuhopecten yessoensis (Yesso scallop)
Lineage: Eukaryota; Metazoa; Mollusca; Bivalvia; Pectinida; Pectinidae
Exons: 3
Source: RefSeq, a predicted model, not a curated record